Molecule: ribosomal RNA, 591 nt
Filed under: Escherichia coli
Lineage: Bacteria; Pseudomonadati; Pseudomonadota; Gammaproteobacteria; Enterobacterales; Enterobacteriaceae
Description: bacterial SSU rRNA
Rfam family: Bacterial small subunit ribosomal RNA
Source: RNAcentral
CGAUGCAACGCGAAGAACCUUACCUGGUCUUGCCAUCCACGGAAGUUUUCAGAGAUGAGAAUGUGCCUUCGGGAACCGUGAGACAGGUGCUGCAUGGCUGUCGUCAGCUCGUGUUGUGAAAUGUUGGGUUAAGUCCCGCAACGAGCGCAACCCUUAUCCUUUGUUGCCAGCGGUCCGGCCGGGAACUCAAAGGAGACUGCCAGUGAUAAACUGGAGGAAGGUGGGGAUGACGUCAAGUCAUCAUGGCCCUUACGACCAGGGCUACACACGUGCUACAAUGGCGCAUACAAAGAGAAGCGACCUCGCGAGAGCAAGCGAACCUCAUAAAGUGCGUCGUAGUCCGGAUUGGAGUCUGCAACUCGACUCCAUGAAGUCGGAAUCGCUAGUAAUCGUGGAUCAGAAUGCCACGGUGAAUACGUUCCCGGGCCUUGUACACACCGCCCGUCACACCAUGGGAGUGGGUUGCAAAAGAAGUAGGUAGCUUAACCUUCGGGAGGGCGCUUACCACUUUGUGAUUCAUAACUGGGGUGAAGUCGUAACAAGGUAACCGUAGGGGAACCUGCGGUUGGAUCACCUCCUUACCUUAAAGAA